This 1034-nucleotide ribosomal RNA is filed under the name Alexandrium catenella. Its description in RNAcentral is "partial large subunit ribosomal RNA". It matches the Rfam family "Eukaryotic large subunit ribosomal RNA", at positions 200 to 1191 of the family's 3401-position model. Lineage: Eukaryota; Dinophyceae; Gonyaulacales; Pyrocystaceae. The record is from RNAcentral.
GCGUCAAUGAGGGUGAGAAUCCUGUUUGUCAUGUGCAGCCCUUUGUGCACGGUGUAUAUUUGCUGAGUCACACUCCUUGGCAUUGGAAUGCAAAGUGGGUGGUAAGUUUCAUGUAAAGGUAAACAUGCAAUUGAGACUGAUAGCACACAAGUACCAUGAGGGAAAUAUGAAAAGGACUUUGAAAAGAGAAUUAAAUGAGUUUGUAUUUGCUGAACACAAAGUAAACAGACUUGAUUUGCUUGGUGGGAGUGUUGCACUUGCUUGACAAGAGCUUUGGGCUGUGGGUGUAAUGAUUCUUUCUUUGCAUGCCAGUUUCUAUUUGUACAUCUGAUUACCUUUGCACAUGAAUGAUAAGUCUCCUGUGGGGGGUGGAUUGCAUGUGCAUGUAAUGAUUUGUGUUUUGAUAAAUGUGUCUGGUGUAUGUGUGUGUUCCUGUGCUUGGGGAUGCUUCCUUCCUUGGACUUACAAGCCCUGACACACACAUGCUGGCAAAAUGCUUCUGCUUGACCCGUCUUGAAACACGGACCAAGGAGUCUAACAGAUGUGCAAAGUUUGAAGGUGGUAUACCUUUGUGUGCAAUGAAAGUGUCAGCUGGGAUAUGUGCACCAGCACCCAAUUAAUUAGCGGACAGAGGUUUGAGUUGGAGCAUAUCUAUUAGGACCCGAAAGAUGGUGAACUAUGCCUGAACAGAAUGAAUUCAGAGGAAACUCUGAUGGAGGUUCGUAUCGAUACUGACGUGCAAAUCGUUCGUCAUAUUUGGGUAUAGGGGCGAAAGACUAAUCGAACCAUCUAGUAGCUGGUUCCCUCCGAAGUUUCCCUCAGGAUAGCUGGAGUUGCUCAGUUUUAUCAGGUAAAGCGAAUGAUUAGAGGAAUUGGGGACAGGUUUGUCUUUGACCUAUUCUCAAACUUUAAAUGGGUAAUAUGUAGUGGUUGCUGUAUGGAACUUCUAAGAUAAAUGGCAAUAUUGGGUGGGCCAUUUUUGGUAAGCAGAACUGGCGAUGAGGGAUGAACCUAAUGUGGGGCUAAGGUGCUUA